Molecule: ribosomal RNA, 474 nt
Filed under: uncultured organism
Description: partial 16S ribosomal RNA
Rfam family: Bacterial small subunit ribosomal RNA
Source: RNAcentral
CACUCCUGCGGGAGGCAGCAGUGGGGAAUAUUGCACAAUGGGCGCAAGCCUGAUGCAGCCAUGCCGCGUGUAUGAAGAAGGCCUUCGGGUUGUAAAGUACUUUCAGCGGGGAGGAAGGCAAUACGGUUAAUAACCGUGUUGAUUGACGUUACCCGCAGAAGAAGCACCGGCUAACUCCGUGCCAGCAGCCGCGGUAAUACGGAGGGUGCAAGCGUUAAUCGGAAUUACUGGGCGUAAAGCGCACGCAGGCGGUCUGUCAAGUCGGAUGUGAAAUCCCCGGGCUCAACCUGGGAACUGCAUUCGAAACUGGCAGGCUUGAGUCUUGUAGAGGGGGGUAGAAUUCCAGGUGUAGCGGUGAAAUGCGUAGAGAUCUGGAGGAAUACCAGUGGCGAAGGCGGCCCCCUGGACAAAGACUGACGCUCAGGUGCGAAAGCGUGGGGAGCAAACAGGAUUAGAUACCCCUGUGUCCCAUGA